UUUCUGAGCCUUUUAUAGCAGGGAGAGGAGAGCUGAAGGAAGGAUUUUUCUCCCCUGUGUGUCUUGAGCUGCUGUUGGUGCACCUACAGCCAGGCUCUGAGUCACCAGUUAAAUGCCCUGGGGAUUAAAACAGGCCACUUGAUUACA
Lagopus leucura (white-tailed ptarmigan) is the source of this 147-nucleotide long non-coding RNA. RefSeq lists it as uncharacterized. The transcript has 2 exons. The record is from RefSeq and is a predicted model, not a curated record. NCBI's taxonomy places the organism in Eukaryota, Metazoa, Chordata, Aves, Galliformes, Phasianidae.